GGCUGUAUGUGUUUCAUAAGUCAUGCCACAGGAAGAGGCGGCCUUUGGUGCCGCUGCCUGCCUGCCUUCUCUGUUUUUCCAUCUCUGCUGCUCAUCCAUGGAUCUCCCUCUGACAGCCCGCUUAGAUGUUGAACAUGUCAAUAUAGCACUGUCAGAUGGAAGAUGACAGAGAGGAACACGACGAGAAAAUAGGAUUAGAUGAAGGGAGACAAGAAAUGACACAUCAAGACAGCAUCCAAAUGACAUGGUCACUGUCAAAUGCUCUAUUAGUCUUUGUCCAGAAGACACGCUGUAGGGGGUCCAAUCAAAAACGCAUAUUUUGAACAAUGGGCAAUAAUAUAUUACUUGUGUACAUACUCCUCUAAGAAAACCAAUGGUCCAACCCUCAUGUCUAUAUCAUAAUCCAUUCCAUAAUCCAGGCUCAACGUUGAACUCUUCAUCUUUCUUCGCAAAUCCAGAGGACAUAAACCAAUAUUGAGGGGCUUUGAGCCGGUUCGUGACAAGUGCCACAGACCUCAACCUGCGUCUGCUUAAAACCGCCGUCUAGGCGUCAGGAAGAGAGAUAGGGUUCAUGAUAUCCCAGGAGAGGGCGUGGUGGCUCAAUCUAUCCACGGUGUCUACUAGUGAGAAGCUGAAGAUCCUGGAUGCUCCAGUAGACCCUGAAGGCCUUUUCGGUCCCACCGCCAAAAAGAAGCCUCCCUUCCCACCCAUGGCACUCACCAAGGAGCCGGCCGGCUCCUAACCCCACCCAGGGGGUAAGAAGGAAGAAGCGGAUGGCCUGGCGGUGUCCCCAUCACCAGAGAGGUGAGAACGGCCUUCCCUAAGGACGGUUCUAUCUCCUCCGCCAAUCCUGAAUUUAUUCCAGGGUACAAGUUCCCAGGCACCUCAGUGUUCUUUCCGGUGUACUAGGCCCAAGACGAUGGCAACAGAACAUACACACUCAGGCUCAGGGGGAAUCAGCGCUUGUCCUCAAGGAGGAAAUAACAUCGCUAAUUGGGAAAAGGGCAAUAAGAAUUGCCACGGUCUUGGGCCUAGUACGCCGGAAAAAACAGGUUCGUAUCCAUCAACCUAAAGGACAAUUACUUUCACAUCUAAAUAUAUCCUCCUCAGAGGAAAUUUCUCAGAUUUGCUUUUCUAGGUGUAACCUCAGAAUUUCUGGUCAAAUCAAAUGUAUUUAUGUAGCCCUUCGUACAUCAGCUGAUUUCUCAAAGUGCUGUACAGAUACCCAGCCUAAAACCCCAAACAGCAAGCAAUGCAGGUGUUGAAGCACGGUGGCUAGGAUUUUUUUGGGGGGUUCUAGUCAGGAUUCUAGCAGCUGUAUUUAGCACUAACUGAAGUUUAUUUAGUGUUUUAUCCGGGUAGCCGGAAAGUAGAGCAUUGCAGUAGUCUAACCUAGAAGUUACAAAAGCAUGGAUUCAUUUUUCUGCAUCGUUUUUGGACAGAAAGUUUAAGAUUUUUGCAAUGUUACGUAGAUGGAAAAAAGCUGUCCUUGAAACAGUCUUGAUAUGUUCGUCAAAAGAGAGAUCUGGGUCCAAAGUAACGCCGAGGUCCUUCACAGUUUUAUUUGAGACAACCAUUAAGAUUAAUUGUCAGAUUCAAAAGAAGAUCUCUUUAUUUCUCGGGACCUAGAACAAGCAUCUCUGUUUUGUCCGAAAGUUUGUAGUAGAAAGUUUGCAGCCAUCCACUUCCUUAUGUCUGAAACACAGGCUUCUAGCGAGGGCAAUUUUGGGGCUUCACCAUGUUUCAUUGAAAUGUACAGCUGUGUGUCAUCCGCAUAGCAGUGAAAGUUAACAUUAUGUUUUCGAAUGACAUCCCCAAGAGGUAAAAUAUAUAGUGAAAACAAUAGUGGUCCUAAAACGGAACCUUGAGGAACACCAAAAUUUACAGAAGACAAACCAUUCACAGAGACAAACUGAUAUCUUUCCGACAGAUAAGAUCUAAACCAGGCCAGAACUUGUCCAUGUAGACCAAUUUGGGUUUCCAAUCUCUCAAAAAGAAUGUGGUGACCGAUCGUAUCAAAAGCAGCACUAAGUUCUAGGAGCACGAGGACAGAUGCAAAGCCUCGGUUUGAUGCCAUUAAAAGGUUAUUUACCACCUUCACAAGUGCAGUCUCAGUGCUAUGAUGGGGUCUAAAACCAGACUGAAGCAUUUCGUAUACAUCGUUUGUCGUCAGGAAGGCAGUGACUUGCUACGCAACAGCCUUCUCUAACAAGUUUGAGGGGAAUGGAAAAUUCGAUAUAGGCCGAUAGUUUUUUAUAUUUUCUGGGUCAAGGUUUGGCUUUUUCAAGAAAGACUUUAUUACUGCCACUUUUAGUGAGUUUGGUACACAUCCGGUGGAUAGAGAGACGUUUAUUAUGUUCAACAUAGGAGGGCCAAGCACAGGAAGCAGCUCUUUCAGUAUAUUAGUUGGAAUAGGGUCCAGUUUGCAGCUUGAAGGUUUAGAGGCCAUUAUUAUUUUCAUCAUUGUAUCAAGAGAUAUAGUACUAAAACACUUGAGUGUCUCUCUUGAUCCUAGGUCCUGGCAGAUUUGUGCAGACUCAAGACAACUGAGCUUUGAAGGAAUACGCAGAUUUAAAGAGGAGUCCGUAAUUUGCUUUCAAAUAAUCAUGAUCUUUUCCUCAAAGAAGUUCAUGAAUUUAUUACUGGUGAAGUGAAAGCCAUCCUCUCUUGGGGAAUGCUGCUUUUUAGUUAGCUUUGCGACAGUAUCAAAAAGACAUUUUCGAAUAGUUCUUAUUUUCCUCAAUUAAGUUGGAAAAAUAGGAUGAUCGAGCAGCAGUAAGGGCUCUUCGAUACUGCACGGUACUGUCUUUCCAAGCUAGUCGGAAGACUUCCAGUUUGGUGUGGCGCCAUUUCCGUUAGAAUUUUCUGGAAGCUUGCUUCAGAGCUCGGGUAUUUUCUGUAUACCAGGGAGCUAGUUUCUUAUGAGAAAUGUGUUUAGUUUUUUUGGGUUGCAACUGCAUCUAGGGUAUUGCGCAAGGUUAAAUUGAGUUCCUCAGUUAGGUGGUUAACGGAUUUUUGUACUCUGACGUCCUUGGGCAGACAGAUAUUUUUUUAUAUGCCUUCCUAACCAUCUUAAAUAAACAUGCCCCAUUCAAGAAAUUUAGAACCAGGAACAGAUAUAGCCCUUGGUUCUCCCCAGACCUGACUGCCCUUAACCAACACAAAAGCAUCCUAUGGCGUUCUGCAUUAGCAUCGAACAGCCCCGUGAUAUGCAGCUGUUCAGGGAAG
Long non-coding RNA from Oncorhynchus keta (chum salmon), 3228 nucleotides. RefSeq lists it as uncharacterized. The record is from RefSeq and is a predicted model, not a curated record. Lineage: Eukaryota; Metazoa; Chordata; Actinopteri; Salmoniformes; Salmonidae. The transcript has 3 exons.